AGAGUUUGAUCCUGGCUCAGGACGAACGCUGGCGGCGUGCUUGAUACAUGCAAGUCGAGCGGGCUGCCGGAAAGCGCAAGCUGGAGGGCAGUCAGCGGCGAACGGGUGAGUAACACGUAGGCAACCUGCCUGGAAGACCGGGAUACCCCCGGGAAACUGGGGCUAAUACCGGAUGGGCUUGGCUGGGGCAUCCCAGGCAAGCAAAGGAGUGAUCCGCUUCCAGAGGGGCCUGCGGCCCAUCAGCUCGUUGGUGAGGUAACGGCCCACCAAGGCGAUGACGGGUAGCCGGCCUGAGAGGGUGGACGGCCACAUUGGGACUGAGACACGGCCCAGACUCCUACGGGGGGCAGCAGUAGGGAAUCUUCGGCAAUGGGCGAAAGCCUGACCGAGCGACGCCGCGUGGGGGAAGACGGUCUUCGGAUUGUAAACCCCUGUCUUCCGGGACGAGGCAGGACGGUACCGGAGGAGGAAGCCCCGGCGAACUACGUGCCAGCAGCCGCGGUAAUACGUAGGGGGCGAGCGUUGUCCGGAAUCACUGGGCGUAAAGGGUGCGUAGGCGGUUGGCUAAGUCUCGUGGGAAAGGCCCCGGCUUAACUGGGGAAACCCGCGAGAGACUGGCGAGCUGGAGGGCCGGAGAGGGUAGUGGAAUUCCCGGUGUAGCGGUGAAAUGCGUAGAGAUCGGGAGGAACACCAGUGGCGAAGGCGGCUACCUGGACGGUACCUGACGCUGAGGCACGAAAGCUGGGGGAGCAAACAGGAUUAGAUACCCUGGUAGUCCCAGCCGUAAACGAUGGACGCUAGGUGUGGGCAGGCAGCCCCUGCCCGUGCCGGAGUAUACACAAUAAGCGUCCCGCCUGGGGAGUACGGCCGCAAGGCUGAAACUCAAAGGAAUUGACGG
RNAcentral lists this ribosomal RNA (898 nucleotides) under uncultured bacterium. RNAcentral's name for it is "bacterial SSU rRNA". It matches the Rfam family "Bacterial small subunit ribosomal RNA", at positions 8 to 916 of the family's 1533-position model. The record is from RNAcentral.